UUAGAACUUCAUUCAUGAUUUCCCAAAAUAUUUUACACAUUCGUAGCUUUAGAAGUGGAACAAGUGUUUCAAGUUGAUUUAUGCAAUCCAAGAUACAAACCCACACUAUGUCUACGGAGCCUCUAAUGGAUACAAAAGAGUAAUAUGAUGGUGUCGUUAACAAAGCUCCGGCUAUAUCUCAAAACCCUGUACAUAAGGAGCAAAAGGUUCAAGAUCCCGAUAUGAAAUCGGGCUCACCAAGUCAGCUGAGAAGAGGGUGUACCGCUAUCGCUGAUGGAUGCCGCAUGUUGUGGAACCACCUACAUCCAUUAAAGAUGCAGCGCCCCCGGCAAAAAAGGACGUUAGUACAUAUGGAAGAGUACUACUAUGUAAGACUAAAUACCCUUUCAAUGAAUCAAGAAACAAUACCAGGAGAAAGAAACAUUCAAUCAAAGAGGGCCUCAAAUAAUAUUAAAGCAUCAAGUUAAGAGAAAUAUAAUUUUCCAAGUAAAUAUCAUUAUUUUUAAGUCGGGAGAUCUUUAGCACCGAUAUGGCACAGUAUUUUUUUUUGCAUGUAGUCCGAUCACGGCUCGAUCGGCUAAGCCGUCUCACCCAAAGACAUCCAAUCACAAUAUCAUUGUGCUAUUUAGCACAGAGUUCGAUCUCAGCCCGAUCGGUUAAGCCGUCUCACCACAAGACAUCCAACUACAAUACCACAAUGUACGCAGCAUGGCAUCCGAUCUCGACCCGAUCGGCUAGGUUGUCUCCCCAUAUGUGUCGUGUGAGUCGACAUCCAAUCCAAGGUUAGCAACAAUCUCAUCCCAAUCAAGGGAAAUAAUUUCAUCACAUUAAUAUGGGUAUUUACCUCUCAAUCACACCUACACCGGCACGUGUAGUUUCAGGGUUAGGUUGUUUCAACCUACCCUUCCUCGGCGACUAAUGAUACUCCCAAAUCAUUUAUUAUAUAAAGAACUUACAGCUAAUUUCAUAAUCUCUCCCACAUUCUUUUCAUUUUAUUUGCACUAUUAGCCACAAGUGUAAUUUCUAUUUUUGGCACGAUGGCCAUAUUUUAUAUCUCAUAGAUUAUCAAUAAUAAGGGCAUUUGUAAUCAAUACUUUAAACAUGUAUAUGAGCAAUAGAAGUCUUAAACACACUGAGUUUUCCUUCCAAGAAUAAGGCAUAAUAAAUCUUGCAUUUGAAACAUGGAUUGAAGUCAUAGCAUUACGAUGCAUAAACCAUACUUGAAUACAUUUCUGAAGGAGAGCAUAAUACGAUAGGAGUAAUUGAAACACAUUUUGAGCACAUAUUUCUCGACACAAUGCUUAUCUGGAAUAACUGAGUGUCUUAGGAAUAACUCGAAAUAAGAGGAGUAGGGACUUGGACAAGUCACGCUUGAAACUUACAAGAACAUCAUGGAAUUCGAUUCUAUGAGAGAAGUUUAGUCAACAUACCUUGCUUGAUCUUUCCUUAAUUUACUACGAGGUUCCAGAAAUCCUAGAGACUUCAAUAUAUUAGAUAUAUGACAAAGCUGAACCAUAAUCAGGAAGUGGUUUUAAGAGUUCAACCCUUUUAGACAUUUUAUUAAACACUAGGUGUGCAAUAUGAUUUCAAGGUUCUUUUAUGGUGGACUUCCUUCAUCCCACAAUCCAAUGUUCACCCAUUUGAGUUCAACAACCUCCCCACAACCUUUGCUGGUAUAUGCAAGCAAAAGGGACAACUCCCACACCCAAGAAUCACACUUCUCAUUACCUACUUUCAGUCCUAAUCCCGAAAUUGAGGGCUAGGGAGUAGAAUCUUACCUCUUAGAUGAAGACGUUGUGAGUUUUCCUUAUUGAAUUUCAAGGCUUGAGCAAGGAUUUGAUGUAUGGAGAUGUUAGUGCCCUUCCUUCUCUCUCUAGCUCCCUUUCCCUCUCUCUAAACGCCAUAUUUUUGCCAUCUAAACGAGCCCCAAUAGCAUUUAAUCAAAAUGGGUCGGUUUAUAAAAAUAAAAAAUGGACCUCCGAACUCAACUCUGCGGUCAUAGAAUGCACCGCAGAUCAGGUCUGCGGCCCACAAAAUGGACCGGAGAAAGGGUCCCAAAAACUAGGCUGGCCUGCACAAGUCUGCGGGCUUUCUGCAGCCCAUAAAACAGUUAUGUGGUCGCAUAAUGUAUCGCAGAAUUUUUCUUCCAAAAUUUCUCAUGCUAGAUAUGUGAUAAAUGUGCAACCCGCGAAAUGAUUCUGCGGCCGCAUAACUGACCGCAAAAUAUCCUUCAAAAUUUGGCUCUGGUUCUGUUGCAUUAUGCGGCCGAUCUGCGGUCUGCGAAGUGAUUCUGCGAUCGCAUAAUGGACCGCAUAAAUGACAUGUUCAGCAAAACUUCUUCUUCCAACUUCCCAAUGCAUUGCAUCACCCAAAAAGUCCAUACAUUAGCCUCAAACACAUUAGCCUACCUCGGCAACACAAAACCUCGAGUUAUGGGUAAACCUUUAUGGCUCUUACUGUUUGUUAGGUAGAAAUAUUGUAUGCCCUAUUUAUAGUUGCAUUCAAGCCACUUAGGGUUUCGAUUGAGUUUGAACAGAUAGUGGAGAGUGAUAAUAAAAUGGAUGACGAUAGUAAGAAAGUGAAAUCAGAGGGAAAAGAGGGGAAAACAGUAUAAGUUUUACCUGAGUACUAGGAGGUUGAUCGUUGAAGCUUUUGGUCUAUUGUUCAAGCCCUAAUGUCCAGAGGUCAUUGCGUUUGACCUCUAGACAACGAAUAAUGAUGAUGAAGGGGGAUAAUAACAAUGCAUGCUCCGAUUCGAAGAAACAAAGGAAGGACAGAUGAAAUUCCAGGUUUCACCUCUAUGUCUAAGUCUUCUGGGUUAGAGAUUCAAAUUAGGGUAAUGAAAGGGAAAGUUUAUGUAGGAUUUGUGGUUAAGCAGGGACAGAAAGGAUGAUUAGGGUUCAGGGGUGGUCUCUGAAUUAAAAGUGGGAGAUGGAAUCUGGGUCGUUGGGUCGUUUGAGCAAUGACCCUGAUAAUUCAAGGCAUAAGAAUUUAAUGAAAUAUUUUUAUUAUAAAAAGAGACGGUCGUUGGAUCCCUAUAAUCAACGACCGAGAUGAGGUCUCAGCAAAAUUAAGGAAAAGAGAAAAAUAGAGAUUAACCACGGACCGUUGAUGAGUUCAAUCAACGGUCCGAAUCUAUUUGUGUUUUCUCUGUGAGCGAGGAAGACGGGUGAUGUGGCAUGCUUUGAUUGGCUUAGAGAGAUUGGCAUGAAUAUUCAUCUUGGAUAGAGGGGGUUGGUUCCGGACUGAUACUGGUCUUGUAUUUUAGGCUAAAUUAGCUGAAAUAAAAUGUAAUUCAUAGCCACAUUGAAUUUAGUUAAUUAAUUACAAUUAUAGCCUUUUUAGUUUUUAACCCCUUUAAAGAUUAAGUUAAUUAGACUUAAUUAAUUCUAAUUGAAUAUAAUAAAAUAUAAUCAUCAAAUAUAUUAUAAAUUAUUGUGAGUAAUUAUUUAAACACCUCAUUUAUCAAAUUAUGACACUAAUUUUUUUAUUAAUUUGAGUAAUAAAGCGAUAUGAUUAUAAAGGGAGGAUAAAAUAAUUGCGAGUAUCAUCAUUGCAAGUAUCAUCCUUUUCCCCGAUUGCCCUGGGUUGUCGGGUAUUGCUAGAGCAUUUUUGGUCGGGUCUUCGAUUGCAGACAUCUUUCCCUUGGAUCUCAGAUUGUACGGUGGCUUAGCCAGUUUUACGUAUCAACACAAACAAACCUCUGAUUUUAGGAAUAAAAUUAAAUAAUAAAGCGAGAAAAUAAGGAAAAGUAGAAGUUAGUUUCAGAGAUUGCACAAAUAUAAGCACAUAGAGCAAUUAAUUCAAGUAUUUAGAUAAGCGUGUCUCCUAAGAUACGACAAACCUCUCUUUGCCAGAGGUAAACCAAUGUCGCGAAUGUUUGAUGAACAAUCAGAUUCUGACACAUUUUGAUCCGGAGCAACCUUUAGUUUUUAUUGAUAGGCUUUGGAUUACAGUAAGACGGGAGUCGUGGUUACAACAUUAUUUUCAAAGUUAACAAAGAUUACAUGGGUUCAUAGGUUUGCCCUUAGGGAAAUGAAAAAAAGGGUACAAGAUAAAGGGAAAUAACCCAGCAACUUAAUAAUUGUCCCCGGAGUCACUUCCCAAGAUUUCUUCUUCAGAUUCCUCUUCAGGGUCUUCUUCAACUUCCUCUUCCUCCUCGUCAUUGUUGUACUCUGGUUCCUCCUCAGGAUCCACCUCUGGCUCUAUUUUUUUACUCAAUCCAUAUGUAUUCAAUUACUUGCUUAAUCCUCCAGUCUGGUCAAUACCUCUCUGCUAGGUCUGGCCAACUAAUCCUUCUCUUGAUACACACGAAAUACUCAGGUGUGCACCAGAGAUUUUGCCCUAUUGGAAUCAUGAUCAUGUCGUUCCAUUCAUAAUGGAGCCUCCUCACCCUCGGGAUUGGAAUUUGUCGGUUGUAAUCAUCUUCAUAAAAAGUUUUCCUUAACCAGCGGGGCACGUAUUGAAUUAGAAAAAAUUGCCUUAGAAUCCUCAGAGGUAAGUACAGCUAAAUUUCUUCAAGUCCCACUAACUCGAUGAAGUACUUUCUCUGGCUUCUCAAGAUUGCCCUGCCACUUAACCAUGAAUAUUUCCAAUUCACGAACUAUCCGCUCAGACGGGUCAGUAUCUCUUGCCACUCCUCUUGCCCAUGCGGUGUAACCAGUGUCUCAUCCUUUUGUUAUGGCUCUUGAUCAUGUUACUGGGGCCAACAAAAUAUUCGACGGUUGUCUCCAUCUAAAAGAAAUAUUUUGUGGCCCACAUCUGGAGUAGUAAGUUACAGCCUUUGAAAAAAUAAUAUCCUCUAGAGCAUGCUGACAGUGCUCGAAAUGUCUCUGCCAAUAUCAUAUGAAUGAGGGUUACUUGCAGAUUCCCUCGAAAGUUUGCCAAGACUAGGGGCAGCAAGUUCACGUUGAUUCGCCCUUUUCUUUGCGGGAAAACUAGCAAUCCCAAUAUUGCUAGAGAAAAGGUUAGAGGGUGGAGGCUCUCCCAUGCUGCUUGAUCACAUUGGAAUUUUUUAAGAUGCCACUCAUAGCUCUCUCGGUGUCCGAACCUGUCGAAUAGUUGGUCCAUACUCACCCAUCGAUCUUUGAUGUUUCUUAGAUUCUUAUUGUUUGUCAGACCCAAUGCAUGGAGGAACCUGUGAUCAGGCAUGGCAACUGGCAGUAUUGGUUUUUGUCCGGCAAAUGAUAACUCCGUGAAGCUAGUGAUCUCCUCCAGUGUUGGUACCAACUCCUAAUCGACAAACUUGAAAACAACCAUAGAUGGGUCCGAAAAAUGUAUUAGCAGUCUAGUAAGGACUUUGUCAGCUCGGAUGUUCAUCAAGGUGGUUAGUUUUCCCAGGUGUGUUCUAAUCUCGUCCAUGUGCUCCCAUCGAAUGUUUCUCUACUACUGCUUCAGCUUGUGUGGUGCACCCAUGACCAUGUUAAUCUCCGGGACAUUGCGGUUGAUUUCUAUCUAAAGAGGUGAAAACUUUUGGUAAGUGUUUGCUUCGGAUCUUUAGCGUCUUAUCUGAAUUGGUUCAUCGUUUUACAAAAGACAUGUCGUUGGGUACAUGAAUCGUUGACAUUACUGUAGCUUUCAUAAUCGUGAGUCAAUACUAAGGAUCAACUUAUCUAAAGUUUAUGCAGCAUGACCUACGUUUGCUAGAGUAGAGUGUUUCCUAAUUUUAAUGUUGGACUGAAUAACUGCGAGAUAUUAUGUCAGUUGACUUGACAAAUCCGUUCUCUGAAAGUAGAAAAUUUUAAAAGAAAGUUGGGAGGGGUGUAAAAGGCAACCCUCGCGUGUCAUUUGUGUGUGAUUGUGUAUGGCCAAGACUCAAUAGGAAAAAUAUAAUGAUAGUGUAUAAAGCAGUAACAAAUAAUGGUGAUAGCAACAAUAGGCAAGUAAGUACAUGUUUGACAGGUCAUAGAAAUACAAACAAGUAAGACAAGUAAACACAUAUUUUUCAAAAUUAAGCACAGUAAAAGAAUAAUAUAAACAAACAUCCCCAAAUUUCGGGUCUAGCCUAAAUCUGCUAAGGUUAUAACCUAAGUGUAAAGAUCCCCAUCAGCGUCGUCAUGUUAUUGCACCUUAUUUUGCACACGUCUAAACAAAGUAUAACUAGUGGUUCUUCUGAUAUUGAUAAAAGAGAGUUCCCACCUAAUAUUUAAGAUAUAUUAGGAUACUUAUAUUUUUGUAAGAUUAUUAUCCUAAUGGUCUGCUAACCGGUGAGAUUUGGGUUCGGGUUCUAGUUAUUCUAAAGGGAAGGUGUUAGGCAUCCCUUUAAAUCUACCUGAGGUCGCUCCUUAAACUUUGGCUAGGUUCGAGGAAAGAAAUACCUUUAUUCUAGUUAAUUAAUGGCUAAAGUUACAAAGUAAGAUUUAUAAAAACAUCUAAGUCUUCUUUGAAAACGCAUUGUAUUGAAAAAGGUUAUGUAUUUCUUUUGAAAAGAAUGACAUUCGUUCGUGAGACUUAAUGAAUAAGAGAUUACUAAAAUAUGCUUUAAUUGAAAACAAUUAUACCUCAUCUUGUUGAAAUGCCAUAUGUUUCAAGCUUAUUUGUAAGAAUGGUUGUGCGUGGUUGCUUUUAUUAUUUUUUAGAGCAAUGGUUGUGUUUUACGUGACCCGUAUGAUGAUAUUCCAAAACAUAAUUGGUUAUCGUUUUGAACCUGCAAUAACUGAAAUUGUUAGUGGAAAAACAUAAGUAAACGAUUUAUUCAUUGAAAGAUUAGUUUAAAUUAUUAAAGCUCAAAUGUAUUAGAGUAAUGAAAAAAAAGGCAAGUCUAUAAUCCUAUGUCGUCUUUUUUACCUGUAAGACUUGGUUGGCCUACGUCUCCUAAACAAUCAAAACAUCAAACAAUAUUCAAUAGCAAUGUUAGCUUCAAAAUAUAUACAAAGAAUAACUGAAAAAGAUAAUAUUUACCAUUUAAAAAUGUGAGAGGGAGGAAAGGGCUGGACUCUUAAUAUUGUGCAAAUGGAUAGUCAGGCCCUGAAGAUUUUCACACGAGUAGCAGACUCCAGGAAAAGCAACCAAGGCUGGAGCUUGGGCUUAAGUUUAAAGAACUCAGAAGUCCUAGUUCAAAUAUGCACACGAAUGAAAUAAGAAGAUAAUUUUUGGAAAUCAAUAUAAUGCAUAACAAUAAUAAAUCACGAGUGAUAAUAAAGCUACAGAAUAUAUUAAAUCCAAUCUCAUUUGUGUUAAUCCUAUGAGGAUUAAAAAGAGUCAAUGAACAAAGGCUUAGAUUAAAACCUUAUUCAUGGAUAAAAUCCCCCUUUGGACCCUUGGUACUUUAGAGUUCAUAACGGUCUCAUAGACCCCGAGUAGUGCUUGUGUCAGGGAAGGGUAUCUUAACCACAUACCAGGUUUCACACCCAAAUACCCUUAACCGCCCACGCUUACUCUUUCUCAAAUGUUUAGACAUAAAUGAGGUGUCAACUUAGUAGUUAACAUGGAAGCAUCAGUGGACACAAAGAUUCAGGAACACAGAACAUCAACAAAAACUAUAGAGAAUAUCAUCACUAGAUUGCAAGCAUUUGCAAAGUUCAGAACUAAUCACAAUAUUGACUUUAGGAUCUUUUAUCAGAACCCUAAAUAAAAAGGCAAGUUACUGCAAGUAGACUUAUAUGGUCCAGUAAUAUCAAUGACCUUAAGGUUGAUUAUAGCAUGCAUCAAGACACUUAGGAAGGUUAUCACUCAUAUAUAAAAAUAAAGAGAGUUAGUGGUAAAUGAAUUGGUAAUUGAUAGGGAAAGACAUAUGUAUUAGUUUUAUUAGUUCUACUGAGGGUUCAACAUUUUAGGAUCCUUAACUAGGUUUAUAGCACUUCAACUAAAAUUUCAGUAAUCUCUAGAACAGUGUAAGGUAAGCAUAUACAUGGACGAGACCUUACUUCACCAAACACCUGUACUGACAGCCUUGUUCAGGCUUCCCAAAGAUAACAACAACCAGCAGAGAUAAUAAUGUAAGUGGGAAGGUCAUUUUUAGUCUAGUUCAAACCUACUAGCAUGAUAUCUAGUCGUAGUUUGUCAUGUUUCCAAACAAUUUCAGAUUCUUGAGUAAAUUCUUAUAGACAAGGAUAUCAAUCAAAUAUGAGACAGUGGAUGGGGAUAUUCAUUCUCAGUGGGUGAGAGAAGACAAACAUGUCUUGGUGAAUUUACUUAAACAUGUGAGUGACCAGGUUACACUAGUAAACAUCCCAUUUUAGAUCCUAUGUUCAACAUUGUUCACUCAAGUUGCUAAAUUAUUAAGGCAGACAUGAUUCAAACUAUCAAGAGAAGAUUUCAGCAAAGGACAUAGUAAAUUCAGCAUGAAACUUUCUCAACUAAAGAGCAGGUAAAGGUUCAUGGGCAUUACUAGACUAGCAGAAGUAUGAUGAACAUAAGCACGUGCAUGUAGGUAAAUAAGAUUCAGUCAGCCAACAUACAAUAUGGUUUCUAUAGAGUUUCAUGGUCAUAAAAUAAUCACAGAUCAAGUGAGCAGAUGAUGUGAUGACUGCAUUGAUAUGUUAAUCAUAUGAGUUCAAACUAUAAUAAUAGACUUGCAUGAACUCUUAAGUGCACAUAACAAACAUAGUUUCAACAAGAAAAAUAUUCAAUUAAGGUCAUCAAAGCAAAAUAAUUAAAUGAAUGUCAUGAACUGUGAUGAUAAUCAUUUUUAUUGAAUCAAAAUCCGGUGGCAUAAUAUUACAAAUGUAAGGAUCAAUAUUGCUCAGUGCAGCAAACAGGACAUUAGGAGAGGGUUAAGAGCAUAGCUCAAUUAGGUUAGCGAAACAUGAUAGUAUAGCUAUCAUUUAACUGAUAGAGGUAGAGCAUACAUAGGAUUAACAUAAGGCUUAGUUCAACCAAUCAUAAAAGGUUCAACAUGAUUUGCUCAGAAGAGUAUCAACAUCAUUAAAACAUUUUAUUUGGCUAAGUUUUGGGAGAUAGAAUAUCAUUAACAACAUGGUUUAGAUAGCAGUAUCCGAACAUCAUAAUUUAUCAGGAAAUUACCAACUCGACUAUGAAAAUGGCAUACAACAAAAAUAAUAUAACAAGUAUAGUCAUGUACAACUGAUGUAUAUCGUAAAAAAAAGGUGAUUAACAGGAAAACAUCAUAAAAUUUUACAAUUAAAAGAUAGAGACAAUGUCAUUAUACACUGACCUUCUACAGAGCAGCAAACCAAGAAAGAGUUGAUUCUUAGCAAUUUAGAGUCCAAACCAAAUACGAAUUAUGUACAGAAAUGGAACUCGAGCAAAAAUGAAAAGAUGAAAAGAUAAAUUAGUGAGAAGCUACUGGAACUUAAUAAUUAGAAGAAAAACUUAAACUUUUUAAUUCUUUCAAUGUGUUUGCUGGUGAUGUUAAGUGUAUUGGUGUCUUGAAUACCCUAUUUAUAGUGGCAUCCAAGCAACUUAGGGUUUCAAUUGAGUUCGAACGGAUAGUGAAGAGUGACGAUAGGAUGGAUGACGAUACUAAGCAAGUGAAAUCAGAGGGUAAAGGGGGGAAAAUAGUAUAAGUUUUACCUGAGCACGAGGAGGUCGACAAUUAAAGCUUUUGGUCCAUCAGUCAUGCCUUAAUGUCUAGAGGUCGCUGCGUUUGACCUCUGGACAAUGAAUAAUGAAGCUGAAGCUGAAGAUAAUAACCAGGCAUGCUCUAAUUCGACGAAACAAAGGAAGGAUAUAUGAAUUCCCAGGCUUCACCUUUAGGUCUAGGGCUUCUGGGUUAGAGAUUCAAAUUAGGGUAACGAAAGGGGAAAGUUCAGGUGGGAUUCACGGUUCAGUAGGGACAAAAAUGAUGAUUUGAGGUCGGAUUUGUGAUCUUGCACAAAUUUGUGCCAGUUUUUAGGACUGAUAGGGGUGAUGGGAAUGAGAUAAAGGAGACAAGAAAGGGAAAUUAGGGUGGCCGUUUGGUGGAAAGUGAUUAGGGUUUAGG
RNAcentral lists this long non-coding RNA (9883 nucleotides) under Nicotiana tabacum (common tobacco). Its description in RNAcentral is "long non-coding RNA (NTAB_LNC008499)". Lineage: Eukaryota; Viridiplantae; Streptophyta; Magnoliopsida; Solanales; Solanaceae. The record is from RNAcentral.